CACGUAGGGGGCAAGCGUUGUCCGGAUUUAUUGGGCGUAAAGAGCUCGUAGGUGGCUUAGUAAGUCGGGUGUGAAACCUCCAGGCUCAACCUGGAGACGCCACCCGAUACUGCUAUAGCUUGAGUCCGGUAGGGGAGCGUGGAAUUCCUGGUGUAGCGGUGAAAUGCGCAGAUAUCAGGAGGAACACCAACGGCGAAGGCAGCACUCUGGGCCGGUACUGACGCUGAGACGCGAAAGCGUGGGGAGCAAACAGG
Molecule: ribosomal RNA, 254 nt
Filed under: uncultured bacterium
Lineage: Bacteria
Description: partial 16S ribosomal RNA
Rfam family: Bacterial small subunit ribosomal RNA
Source: RNAcentral